This 58-nucleotide transfer RNA is filed under the name Felis catus (domestic cat). It matches the Rfam family "tRNA", at positions 8 to 63 of the family's 71-position model. From Rfam's summary of the family: Transfer RNA (tRNA) molecules are approximately 80 nucleotides in length. The record is from Rfam by way of RNAcentral. Lineage: Eukaryota; Metazoa; Chordata; Mammalia; Carnivora; Felidae. RNAcentral also lists the same sequence under 2 other names.
UGGCUCAGUCAGUAGAGCAUGUGACUCUUGAUCUCAGGGUCGUGAGUUCAAACCCCAC